This 185-nucleotide ribosomal RNA is filed under the name Paenibacillus sp. ov031. RNAcentral describes it as "16S rRNA. Bacterial SSU". It matches the Rfam family "Bacterial small subunit ribosomal RNA", at positions 1 to 176 of the family's 1533-position model. The record is from RNAcentral. Lineage: Bacteria; Bacillati; Bacillota; Bacilli; Caryophanales; Paenibacillaceae.
CUUUAUUGGAGAGUUUGAUCCUGGCUCAGGACGAACGCUGGCGGCAUGCCUAAUACAUGCAAGUCGAGCGGACUUGAAAAGAAGCUUGCUUCUCUGAUGGUUAGCGGCGGACGGGUGAGUAACACGUAGGCAACCUGCCCUCAAGUUUGGGACAACUACCGGAAACGGUAGCUAAUACCGAAUAG